Molecule: long non-coding RNA, 587 nt
Filed under: Phoenix dactylifera (date palm)
Lineage: Eukaryota; Viridiplantae; Streptophyta; Magnoliopsida; Arecales; Arecaceae
Description: long non-coding RNA (PDAC_LNC005882)
Source: RNAcentral
UAUAUAUAUAGCAAGAGUGAUCAAUGCUCUCCUAAGCAACUAAACAACUAGGGCUUAUACAAUAGAGUAAAUUACAAAAACUUUUUUAAGAUUAGAAAUAAAUUAUACUUGCACCCAAAAAUCUAUAUUUAUCCUCUAAGAUUUUUUUUAUUAAAUAUUUUAACUCAUAAUUGAACAGAACAUUAGUCAAACCGUUAACUUUAAUAGGACCCAAGUGCCACGUCUGAAAGAAUUUUAAAAUAACUAAAAUAACCUUACAAAAACCCACUUAAGAAUUACGUUUAUUCCACUUUCACCUAAUAUUUUGUAAAACCUACAGUUACACCCAGUCAAAUUGACAACGUUAGCCAUUUAUCUAUUGUAAAAAGUCAAAAUUAUCCUUAUAAGAAAAUAUGACUCUUCUUUCAUUUUUUCGACUCCCCAAUCUUUUUGAAUUCUUCCGUCUUUAAGAGUCUUCUUUUCUUCGAGAUUGAAUGGCUAGGAUUUUUUCUCGCUUUGCCAUAUCCCACCACGAGCGUCCCUUCCCAAUGAGUGACCCAUGACAAGCUUCCUAACCAGCAUCCAGCAACAAACAUCCUUAAUUUUUG